GAAAUGCGAUAAGUAAUGUGAAUUGCAGAAUUCCGUGAAUCAUCGAAUCUUUGAACGCACAUUGCGCCCUCUGGUAUUCCGGGGGGCAUGUCUGUCCGAGCGUCAUUGCGAACCCCUCAAGCACGGCUUGUGUGAUGGGCCCUCCCGCGUCUUGGUCGUCAAGACGGGCCCGAAAAGCAGUGGCGGCUUCGCGGUUAUCCGAUCAGCCAGAGCGUAUGGGGACUUUCUCUCUGUCACGCCCGCGGCGCGGACCGACGCCUGUCGACCUUUAUUCAUCUUUUUCUCGGUUGACCUCGGAUCAGGUAGGGAUACCCGCUGAACUUAAGC
Molecule: unclassified non-coding RNA, 327 nt
Filed under: plant metagenome
Description: partial contains 5.8S ribosomal RNA, internal transcribed spacer 2, and large subunit ribosomal RNA
Rfam family: 5.8S ribosomal RNA (bases 1-105)
Source: RNAcentral